This 77-nucleotide transfer RNA is filed under the name Candidatus Wolfebacteria bacterium. RNAcentral's name for it is "tRNA-Ile". It matches the Rfam family "tRNA". Rfam says of the family: Transfer RNA (tRNA) molecules are approximately 80 nucleotides in length. The record is from RNAcentral. Lineage: Bacteria; Candidatus Wolfeibacteriota.
GCGCGCAUAGCUCAAUUGGUAGAGCUCCAAGCUUAUACMUUGGCGGUUUCUUGGUUCAAGUCCAAGUGCGCGCACAA